This 506-nucleotide ribosomal RNA is filed under the name uncultured bacterium. RNAcentral describes it as "partial 16S ribosomal RNA". It matches the Rfam family "Bacterial small subunit ribosomal RNA", at positions 29 to 523 of the family's 1533-position model. The record is from RNAcentral.
AUUGAACGCUGGCGGCAGGCCUAACACAUGCAAGUCGGACGGUAGCACAGAGGAGCUUGCUCCUCGGGUGACGAGUGGCGGACGGGUGAGUAAUGUCUGGGGAUCUGCCCGAUAGAGGGGGAUAACCACUGGAAACGGUGGCUAAUACCGCAUAACGUCGCAAGACCAAAGAGGGGGACCUUCGGGCCUCUCACUAUCGGAUGAACCCAGAUGGGAUUAGCUAGUAGGCGGGGUAACGGCCCACCUAGGCGACGAUCCCUAGCUGGUCUGAGAGGAUGACCAGCCACACUGGAACUGAGACACGGUCCAGACUCCUACGGGAGGCAGCAGUGGGGAAUAUUGCACAAUGGGCGCAAGCCUGAUGCAGCCAUGCCGCGUGUAUGAAGAAGGCCUUCGGGUUGUAAAGUACUUUCAGCGGGGAGGAAGGCGAUGUGGUUAAUAACCGCGUCGAUUGACGUUACCCGCAGAAGAAGCACCGGCUAACUCCGUGCCAGCCGCCGCGGUAA